Molecule: ribosomal RNA, 490 nt
Filed under: uncultured bacterium
Lineage: Bacteria
Description: partial 16S ribosomal RNA
Rfam family: Bacterial small subunit ribosomal RNA
Source: RNAcentral
AUUGAACGCUGGCGGCAUGCUUUACACAUGCAAGUCGAACGGCAGCACGAAAGAGCUUGCUCUUUUGGUGGCGAGUGGCGAACGGGUGAGUAAUGCAUCGGAACGUACCGAGUAAUGGGGGAUAACUGUCCGAAAGGAUAGCUAAUACCGCAUACGCUUUGAGAAGGAAAGUGGGGGCUCUUCGGACCUCACGUUAUUCGAGCGGCCGAUGUCUGAUUAGCUAGUUGGUGGGGUAAAGGCCUACCAAGGCGACGAUCAGUAGCGGGUCUGAGAGGAUGAUCCGCCACACUGGGACUGAGACACGGCCCAGACUCCUACGGGAGGCAGCAGUGGGGAAUUUUGGACAAUGGGCGCAAGCCUGAUCCAGCCAUGCCGCGUGUCUGAAGAAGGCCUUCGGGUUGUAAAGGACUUUUGUUAGGGAAGAAAAGGAUAGUGUUAAUACCAUUAUAUGCUGACGGUACCUAAAGAAUAAGCACCGGCUAACUACGUG